This 573-nucleotide ribosomal RNA is filed under the name Cephalobidae environmental sample. RNAcentral's name for it is "SSU rRNA". It matches the Rfam family "Eukaryotic small subunit ribosomal RNA", at positions 1024 to 1624 of the family's 1831-position model. The record is from RNAcentral. Lineage: Eukaryota; Metazoa; Nematoda; Chromadorea; Rhabditida; Cephalobidae.
UUCUGACCGUAAACGAUGCCAACUAGCGAUCCGCCGGUGGAUUUUUAGCCCUGGUGGGUAGCUUCCCGGAAACGAAAGUCUUCCGGUUCCGGGGGAAGUAUGGUUGCAAAGCUGAAACUUAAAGGAAUUGACGGAAGGGCACCACCAGGAGUGGAGCCUGCGGCUUAAUUUGACUCAACACGGGGAAACUCACCCGGCCCGGACACCGUAAGGAUUGACAGAUUGAUAGCUCUUUCAUGAUUCGGUGGUUGGUGGUGCAUGGCCGUUCUUAGUUCGUGGAUCGAUUUGUCUGGUUUAUUCCGAUAACGAGCGAGACUCUAGCCUACUAAAUAGUAACGAGAUUAUCAAUGUCUCAGUUGCUUCUUAGAGGGAUUUUCGGUGUUUAGCCGCACGAGAUUGAGCAAUAACAGGUCUGUGAUGCCCUUAGAUGUCCGGGGCUGCACGCGCGCUACACUGGCGAAAUCAGCGUGCUGUAUCCAUUCUCGAAAGGGAUUGGUAAACCCAUGAAAAUUUGCCGUGCUUGGGAUCGGAAAUUGCAAUUAUUUUCCGUGAACGAGGAAUCCAAGUAAGUGC